RNAcentral lists this long non-coding RNA (1007 nucleotides) under Medicago truncatula (barrel medic). RNAcentral's name for it is "lncRNA gene10973". Lineage: Eukaryota; Viridiplantae; Streptophyta; Magnoliopsida; Fabales; Fabaceae. The record is from RNAcentral.
UUUUAUAUUUCAGGUGGAGUGGGUUAAGUCCAUUAAGUUUUAGGCUUAGGCCCAUUAAGGGGACAUCCUAUAUAAACAUUGUCUUAGAGGAAAUUUCCUACACACUUUCAUUUACAAGAUAUUUUGAGAGGGUUAGAGAGAGAAAGUGGGAGAAAGAGGAAGAAAGGGUUAGAGAGAACAGGAGCUUGAAGAUUCAAGAAGAGGAGAGAACCUAGGAGCUAAAGUGAAGCUUGGGCUAGAGAAUUGAUCUAACUAAGAUGUGGGUGUAUUGAGGAUACGAAUCAUCUGUUUGUGUCUUGUGUCUUUUAUAGCAAUCUUUGGUAUUUGAUUUAUGAUUGGCUUGGGUUUUCUUCGGCAACAUCUCCGAGUCUUUUAUUGCAUCUUCGUCAUUUUUGUGGUCUGGGAGGUGUUUCAAAUAAACUAAAUUCAGCGUUCAAUAUGAUUUGGUUAGCAGCUUUUUACGUUAUAUGAAAAGAGAGUAAUGGACGUAUCUUCCAACAAAAGAAAAAUUCCAUUGUUUUAAUUAGUGAGCAAGUUAAAUGUCUAGUUUUUUUUUUUUUUUUUGGUUUAAAUCAAAGUUUGUUUCUUUCAAUUUUCACUACAAUGUUUGGAGACAAAGCCCUUUGAUGUGCCUCAGUGCUGUAACUUAAUGUUUCCUUUUGUUCUUUGUUAGGCUCUUGUUUUUCUCUCCCUUUCUUUUGAAAUUGUAUCCUGAAUCUUUAAUGUCUCCCUAAACACUUCUUGUGUUGGUGGACACUAAUUAUGGUAAUAGAUUACAUUUUAGAUUCUAAAAAAAAAAAAAAACAGAUAAUUAUCUAAUAAUUUAGUGGGGACAACAUGUAAUUUCUUAAUAGAAAAAACAACUUUGACGAAUUAGUAAAAUAAAUAGUGGUGGCGGCUGCUUCUGAUACUAUAAUUUAAUGCACGUGCAUCCAUCCUGGGCUUGAUGCUUUUAACGAUACUUCCUCCAUAGGAAGGAAAAAUGCUAAUAUAUACUUUUUUUUUUU